GGAAGGAUCAUUAUCGAAACUCGAGGUGCUCGCGCGCCGAGAGCUGUACGCUGGACCCUGACACGAAACGACCGUGCCUGCGAGUCGAGGGGUGAUGCCUGAGACCCAGCUCGGUCGGGCCGGUGGAGGCGAAGCAUCAUUGCGCCGUCAUCGGUUGUAUUCUGGUGUUGUAUUCUGGUUUGGCGGACAUGGGGGUGCCGUGACGUCGGCUUAAUGAAACGCACUGCAUCGUGGCGUUUGCCCCUGUGUCCCGCCGACGCCUCGGUCGUCGGUGGUGACAACGGGUACCUAUCUCGCGGCUGCUUCAUGCGCGAGGAAUGCUUAGGCCAGGCUAGGUGGUAAAUGAGUCGCUUUGGCGACCGCCUGUUCGAUGUCGCGCCCUAACGCUAAGGGAACGGUGGAGAUACGACGAGCUACAUGCUCGGAUACGAAAAAAUGAACCACUCUAAACGGUGAAUCACUCGGCUCGUGUGUCGAUGAAGAGCGCAGCCAGCUGCGUUAAGUAAUGUGAAUUGCAGGACACAUUGAACAUCGAUAUCUUGAACGCAUAUUGCGGCCUCGGGUAAUCCCGAGGCCACGCCUGUCUCAGGGUCGGUUGAACGUUAAUCGCGAGAAGCUUUUUGCUCGCGCACUGAACGUCGUAAGCGUGCAAAGCGCAGAUGCUGCAACGCCUCGCAGCCCUGCGGACGGUACGUCGUUUGAAUGAUAGACGGUUUACGGCGACUCUAAUGCGUUGUAGUUCGUCGAGACGGUAGCUCGACUGCAUCUGAGCGAUCUAUUGACGACUCGCGCACAAACAGUUGUCUCCAGUACGAUGUCCCCGUGAUGUCGUAUUCUGAGUUCGAUUAUUUCGACCUGAGAUCAGACGAGAUUACCCGCUGAAUUUAAGCAUAUUAAUAAGCGGAGGAAAAGAAACUAACAAGGAUUCCCUUAGUAACGGCGAGUGAAGCGGGAAGAGCCCAGCACCGAAUCCUCCGUCACCUAGGCGCAGGAACUGUGGUGUUCGGGACAGCCCAUGCGGAUCGGUUGGCCGUCCGAGUCCUCCUGAUCGGGGCUUCACCCAGAGCGGGUGUCAGGCCUCUACGGCAGCCGACCGGUUCUCUAGGGUCGUCCUAGGAGUCGGGUUGUUUGAGAUUGCAGCCCUAAGCGGGUCGUAAACUCGACCUAAGGCUAAAUACAGACACGAGUCCGAUAGCGCACAAGUACCGUGAGGGAAAGUUGAAAAGAACUUUGAAGAGAGAGUUCAAUAGUACGUGAAACCGUUUAGAGGCAAACGGAGGGUACCGCAAAGUCCACUUGUCGGAUUCAACUUGUUGGCGGUUCGGCGGCGUUUUUGCGAACAUGCUUCGUGGCAGUUCCGGAGCGUCGCUUCGUUCCGCGACGGGCGCACUUUCGGCAAGUGGAGCGCCACGACCGGUUCGUUGGCGGUCAGAAGCAUCUGGGGAAGGUGGCCAGCACUUCGGUGUUGGUGUUAUAGACCCGGUUAGCAUUGGCCCGUUGGCGGACCGAGGAUGACUUAUGCGCGGUCGCCGUGCGACCUCGUCCGUGUUCGAUCGUUCGACCUGAGGGGACUGUCGCCAGUGUCCUCUAACCGCGGUUGUUCACUGGGCGGGUGUUCGUUCGGUGCACUUGGCGUCGGUGGCGAAUCGGUCGGUCCACUGUCCGACCCGUCUUGAAACACGGACCAAGGAGUCUAACAUGUGCGCGAGUCGCUGGGCAGUUACGAAACCCGUAGGCGUAAUGAAAGUGAAGGCCUUCCGCUAGGUUGGCUCAGGUAGGAUCCGGGCGGCGGAAACGCUGCCCGGCGCACUACCGGCUCGUCUCGACCGCCGCGUCGGUGAGGCGACGCUAAAGCGUACACGUUGGGACCCGAAAGAUGGUGAACUAUGCCCGAGUAGGACGAAGCCAGAGGAAACUCUGGUGGAGGUCCGCAGCGAUUCUGACGUGCAAAUCGAUCGUCAAACUUGGGUAUAGGGGCGAAAGACUAAUCGAACCAUCUAGUAGCUGGUUCCUGU
Molecule: unclassified non-coding RNA, 2015 nt
Filed under: uncultured fungus
Lineage: Eukaryota; Fungi
Description: sequence contains 18S rRNA gene, ITS1, 5.8S rRNA gene, ITS2, 28S rRNA gene
Rfam family: Eukaryotic large subunit ribosomal RNA (bases 852-2015)
Source: RNAcentral